Non-coding RNA from Limnoraphis robusta CS-951, 46 nucleotides. The record is from Rfam. NCBI's taxonomy places the organism in Bacteria, Bacillati, Cyanobacteriota, Cyanophyceae, Oscillatoriales, Sirenicapillariaceae.
GUAGCGGCUUUAUUAGAAGCCACUAAUACUUUGGGUCAAAGUUUGG